AUUCAAAAUCUUGUGAUGUAUAUUCUAUAAUCUUGUGAUGUAUGUUCGAAAUCUUGUGAUGUAUAUUCGAAAUCUUGUUAUGUAUAUUCUAUAAUCUUGUGAUGUAUAUUCGAAAUCUUGUGAUGUAUGUUCGAUAAUCUUGUGAUGUAUAUUCGAAAUCUUGUGAUGUGUGUUCUACAAUUCAGUGAUGCGUGCAAUAAAAUUGCAUGACGCAACAGAAAAGUAAGGACAAUUUUCAUUGGUUAGAAAUAACGAAAGUAGCUGAAGCGUCGGGAAAACCAUGCAGACGAGCUGAUCGCCAACCAGGAGAUCAGAAUGAUCGCAUCUGCUCCUGCCACUUUAAGGAUGGUAAGAAGGAGGGGGACCCUGCAUAUUUUGCAUGGAAUGAAGGAAAGGCCAUGGAUUUCUCUGAUCCUGAAUUUACAAAAAGGAGGAAAAAACUCAAAAGUGAGGAGUCCCUGUCAUCUUAAGAUGGACCAGUUGCAGAUUCCACAAGCACCAAAAUGUCAAUAUCAAGAAAAAUUGAUAUCAGAGCACAACUACUCAGCGUCCUGCACAUUUAACUGUACUCAAGAAAUGCAGCGCCUCUCAACAGAAAUACAACUGGAAAAGGAAUUGCUUGCCCUAAAAAUAGAGUCUAGUAAAAGGAAGCCAAUAUCAAUCCACGAUAUUAAAUACAACGAAGAGAAGGUAUCUGAUCAGCAGGGGCAUUUUCUCUACAUAAGAAGAAAAUGGAGACUCCCUACCCACCUGAUGUAUUUUGUCGGACAGUUUUCUGUACAUUGCAGUCACCAAUAUAUCCAAAUAUCAUCACCGGCCCAGACGUCAUUCACUCCUUUGAAUUGUGCUGGUAGCAGUAAGGUGUCAUCAUUUGAGAUGGUCACAGUAUCCAAUACACUGAAGUCACAGGACUCAAAUUUCAUACAUGUUCACAGUAAAGUACUGAGAGGGCCUAAGGUUUGUAUGGAGUUCUAUGGGAAAAUAAUUGGUGGUCUUUUCCCUAUACAAGAUGCUGUCUGAUGGCGUAGUGUAGAAUGUAGCGUAGAAUGUUUUCCAAGUCAGCUUAAAUGCAAAGGGUCUCUGCCAAAAUCUUUUGAGGAUUUUUCCUCUGCUAGAGCAUCCAUGGAUGCAAUUGAAACAACCCAGGACAUCCCAACACAUAUGGAUAAUCAGGCCAUGGCCUACAGUAUGUACAAAAGUUGCCAUACUUUUAAAGCAGUAACUUGCGCGCUUCCAAAUGGUGCACUUACAUUUUGCUCCAUGCUGUACCCAGGUUCUACUUCUGAUGUAGCUAUUGUACGUCACAGCCAAGUUUUACGAAAGUUCAAAGCUGGAGACCUUAUUUUGGUGGUCAAAGGUUUCACCAUUCAUGACCAGUUGCCCCAGGGUGUCUGCUUAAUUAUAAAAGCUCUUUUAUCGACACGAGGCCAGUUUACCAUACAAGAAGCAGCACUGUGUUACAAGAUUGCUAAAGCACUUAUUCAUGUGGAAAGAGCCAACGAGAGGAUAAAGAAUUAUAUUCUCCGUCACAUACCAUCUACUUACAGACCAAUCUCAACAAAAAUAUUUCAACUCUGUUCUUGUCUUGUAAACUUGCAAGCUCCACUUUUGAAAGAAAUUACUUAAAGAUACAUGUACUUAUUAUAAAUUUGCAUUGGCGUGUGACAGUAUACACUAAACAGUGAAGAUAUUCAUACCAAAGUGCAAGGGAUAAGCAAAUUUUGAUUUGUUAUCAAUGUCAAUGGUUAUAUUUGUUAACUUUGUAGUA
This is an RNA transcript of Saccostrea cuccullata (small rock oyster), 1768 nucleotides long. RefSeq lists it as uncharacterized. NCBI's taxonomy places the organism in Eukaryota, Metazoa, Mollusca, Bivalvia, Ostreida, Ostreidae. The transcript has 8 exons. The record is from RefSeq and is a predicted model, not a curated record.